RNAcentral lists this ribosomal RNA (662 nucleotides) under uncultured organism. Its description in RNAcentral is "bacterial SSU rRNA". It matches the Rfam family "Bacterial small subunit ribosomal RNA", at positions 1 to 663 of the family's 1533-position model. The record is from RNAcentral.
GGCUUAGAGUUUGAUCAUGGCUCAGGAUGAACGCUGGCGGCGUGCUUAACACAUGCAAGUCGAACGAAGCGGUUUCGAUGAAGCCUUCGGGUGGAAUUGGAAUUGACUGAGUGGCGGACGGGUGAGUAACGCGUGGGUAAUCUGCCUCACACAGGGGGAUAACAGUUAGAAAUGACUGCUAAUACCGCAUAAGCGCACAGGACGGCAUCGUCCGGUGUGAAAAACUCCGGUGGUGUGAGAUGAGCCCGCGUCUGAUUAGGUAGUUGGUGAGGUAACGGCUCACCAAGCCGACGAUCAGUAGCCGGCCUGAGAGGGUGGACGGCCACAUUGGGACUGAGACACGGCCCAAACUCCUACGGGAGGCAGCAGUGGGGAAUAUUGCACAACGGGGGAAACCCUGACGCAGCGACGCCGCGUGAAGGACGACGUAUUUCGGUAUGUAAACUUCUAUCAGCAGGGAAGAAAAGAUGACGGUACCUGACUAAGAAGCCCCGGCUAACUACGUGCCAGCAGCCGCGGUAAUACGUAGGGGGCAAGCGUUAUCCGGAUUUACUGGGUGUAAAGGGAGCGUAGGCGGCGCGGCAAGUCAGAAGUGAAAACCCAGGGCUUAACUCUGGGAUUGCUUUUGAAACUGUCGGGCUGGAUUGCCGGAGAGGUAAGUG